GGGCCGUGUUUGCUGAGCUGAUGUGCCCGGCUGAUACAGAUAGCGGCGGCGAGCCGCCCGCUUCUGUGGAAAAAGACUAUUUUAAGUGUCAUAAUUAAGUUUAGGAGCCUUGUUUGGGCUCAUUCACUGCUCGAAAUAAAAAGGACUGGCUGCUUCUAGACCCUUUCUGAAAGGGCUGGCUAAGCGCCUCUGCACGUUCGCUCGGAGAAGAAUGUUUUCUUUUCUAGUUUAAUAUUAGAAACUAUAUUUUUACUUGUUUAAACCGGAUUUGAAUUUUUUGGAGAUUUUUUUCCUCUCCCCCCCCCGCCCCCCAUCGCUCAAAUCUUUGUUCAUUGUUCAUUGACUGUGCAAGGCUGCUUAAAUGUACGGAGAGAGGGGGGAGGCCCCCUCGGUGGUUUGAUGUUGAAAUAGUAAACCUGAAUGAGGAGGGUGGCUGGAAAAGUGGACAUUGCAGCUUUAAUUAACUUCAAGAUGCUUCAGCGAGGACCAGAGCGUAGUAGUGACGUUGCCUCAUAAAUCUGUCCAGUACAGUGCGUUGCAUUGAACUAUUACAGUAUCACCAUCAUAUUGAAUAUUCACUACCUAUCCGGGAGCAGAUUUGCAUAAUUGGAUCUUUUUUAAAUGAAACUUGUUUGCAAAAACCCAAACAAAACCAAAAAAACCAAAAGCCCAAGUGAAAACCGCGGCGAUCUGCAUGGUUUUAAAGGGUUCAAACAUAUCCGAAAAAACGUGCACUAGAAGAGAGUCUCGGUACAGUUGCUAAACCCUGCGACUGAGUGCACUUUCUCAUGUCUUCUCUGCCUUCAGAUUUUGCUCCUGACUCUGAAUUUCUAUCCCUGCAGGUGCUCUAUAUUAGAACAGCAGAAACAAUCCCAGGAGCAGUUCUGUGAGUGCUUUGGAUGGUUCCAAGCUUAACUUCCAUAAAACAACUAGAAGGUCUAAAUGCAGGUUUUAUUUUUCCAGUUGUGACCUUCAGUACCUAUCCUGUGUCUUUUAAGAAUUUCCUCAUCCAGGGAACAGAUUCAUUGGCUUAAGAAUAACUGAAAUGUGCAGAAUGGUGCCCAACUGUGAGGUAGAAACUGGGAUCAUGCCUGUAGUUUUCAACCCAAGGUAAAUACACCCAACAGCCAAAGCCACAUGUAUCUGACCCAUACCUGAGUUUUGCCUAGAUACAGCAUUUCUUGACCCCACCUCCAGCUGCC
Molecule: long non-coding RNA, 1202 nt
Filed under: Lonchura striata (white-rumped munia)
Lineage: Eukaryota; Metazoa; Chordata; Aves; Passeriformes; Estrildidae
Description: domestica (Bengalese finch) lncRNA (ENSLSDG00000017726.1)
Source: RNAcentral